GUUUACAUCAUCUUUUAAUGAUGGGAGGCGGGUUGAAAAUUUACCUCCUGGAGCCCAAGUAUCAUAUACACCACCAAAGUACAUAGCUUUCCAAACAAGAAGCCAAGCUCCAAAACCUAAAAUAAUUAGGUGGAAACCUAAAAUGCUUGUCAUUUUGUUCUUGUCUUUCCA
RNAcentral lists this antisense RNA (171 nucleotides) under Stigeoclonium helveticum. RNAcentral describes it as "Antisense RNA which regulates isiA expression". The stretch from base 43 to 171 matches the Rfam family "Antisense RNA which regulates isiA expression", at positions 59 to 187 of the family's 187-position model. The record is from Rfam by way of RNAcentral. Lineage: Eukaryota; Viridiplantae; Chlorophyta; Chlorophyceae; Chaetophorales; Chaetophoraceae.